This 590-nucleotide ribosomal RNA is filed under the name Capra hircus (goat). RNAcentral describes it as "partial 16S ribosomal RNA". It matches the Rfam family "Bacterial large subunit ribosomal RNA", at positions 1797 to 2619 of the family's 2925-position model. The record is from RNAcentral. Lineage: Eukaryota; Metazoa; Chordata; Mammalia; Artiodactyla; Bovidae.
CGCCUGUUUACCAAAAACAUCACCUCCAGCAUUUCCAGUAUUGGAGGCACUGCCUGCCCAGUGACUAAACGUUAAACGGCCGCGGUAUUCUGACCGUGCAAAGGUAGCAUAAUCAUUUGUUCUCUAAAUAAGGACUUGUAUGAACGGCCACACGAGGGUUUUACUGUCUCUUACUUCCAAUCAGUGAAAUUGACCUCCCCGUGAAGAGGCGGGAAUGAAUUAACAAGACGAGAAGACCCUAUGGAGCUUUAACUAACUAGUCCAAAAGAAAUAAAUUUAACCACUAAGGGAUAACAACAUCCUUUAUGGACUAGCAGUUUUGGUUGGGGUGACCUCGGAGAACAAGAGAUCCUCCGAGCGAUUUUAAAGACUAGACUUACAAGUCAAAUCAAAUUAUCGCUUAUUGAUCCAAAAAACUUGAUCAACGGAACAAGUUACCCUAGGGAUAACAGCGCAAUCCUAUUCAAGAGUCCAUAUCGACAAUAGGGUUUACGACCUCGAUGUUGAUCAGGACAUCCUGAUGGUGCAACCGCUAUCAAAGGUUCGUUUGUUCAACGAUUAAAGUCCUACGUGAUCUGAGUUCAGACCGG